UUACGGCCACAUCAGGUUAAAACACCGGUCCUUGUACAAUCACCGAAGUUAAGCAAAGUCGAGCCUGGUUAGUACCUAGAUUGGUGACCGCUUGGGAAUAACGGAU
RNAcentral lists this ribosomal RNA (106 nucleotides) under Acanthosepion pharaonis. The record is from RNAcentral. Lineage: Eukaryota; Metazoa; Mollusca; Cephalopoda; Sepiida; Sepiidae.